RNAcentral lists this non-coding RNA (29 nucleotides) under Homo sapiens (human). Lineage: Eukaryota; Metazoa; Chordata; Mammalia; Primates; Hominidae. The record is from RNAcentral.
UCCAGAUGCCAAAACUCUGUGUUGCUGCA